Non-coding RNA from Heterocephalus glaber (naked mole-rat), 2694 nucleotides. The record is from RefSeq and is a predicted model, not a curated record. Lineage: Eukaryota; Metazoa; Chordata; Mammalia; Rodentia; Bathyergidae.
UGAAGAACGUCCCCUGUGGGGAAGAAUGUCUCAGCUGUUUAGUAAUAGAAUAUGGAACUUUUACACACAAUGAGCUGUGCUGCUUAGAGCCAAAUGACAGUUCCACUAGGUGAAGGAGGGAAGUGAGAAUUUGUCUUCUUUCCUGAUCCACUGAAAUGGCCAGGGGGCAUUUGGAAAAAUUGGAGACAUCAGAGAUUGUAAUGACUGGGGAACUGCUACUGGGAAGAGGCCAAGGACACUGUUUACCAUCCCAUAACCCACAGGGAAGCACUUUCUCCUUAACCUCUACUACGAGGAAUCAUCCAGCCCAGAAAGUCAGUAAUGCUGAGGAUGAGAGGCCUCCCUUUACCAGCUGAUCCUAACAGUUUCUACAUCUCUUCUAAGAUAAGAGGUCCAGAAAAGAAAUAAAUUAAUCAAAAUUUAAAGGAAUAGAAGAACACUGAAGUGACUUCUCCAUAUCUUUAGACCAAUAUCUGGAGAAAGGUGGUUUACUUGAUUGGUCGUCAGACCUAACCGCAAAUCACAGUCAUUUCAAGCUGAUUUUUCUCAUCCCCCAAUGGAUAUUCAUCAGCCAACCCCAGUGAUUCUGAUUCUCUCCAGGAAUCUGGAUAUUAUAAAACCUUUUUUAAGACAUUCUGAUUUUCAGCCUCUCUUGGAAAUCACUGACCAAGGAACUUGCCCAUCUUAUAUGUUUUUAAUAGACAAACCAGAUAUUUAACAAAGUGGUCAAAUAGAUUGCUUUGCUAAGAACUUUAACAUUGUUGAUCUGUAGGAUUUCAAUAUUUUUCCAUAGCCACAUACUAAACCUUCAAUUCAAUACUGUAGAGAAUUCCUUGGUAUUGUUAGGUUUGUGAAGACAAAUUGAAAUCCUAGUUCUCUCUCUUUUGUGAAUGUUUCCCUUUUGAAAGCAGCAGUUUCCCAUGACUGAUUCUGCCACACUACUUACAUAGUGAAAUACAGAAAGCUAAGCACUGUUACCUACCUCUCUUUCUCCACCCAUCUUUGGUCGGUAAACUAAUGACUAUGGAAUCUUGUUUCUUUUGAUUGUACUCUGAAAUGUGCCAGCAACAAUGGGCAUGAUUAAAUGCAUCUAAUGGAUUUAAGCAUCCCCCAAAGAAAUGAAAUUGGAUAAAAUUCUCAUGCUAGUCUUCCUUUUCUAACUGGAAAUUUAUUCUUCUUGGGUAUGGAAGACAAAUGCAAGUAAAAUUCUGUAGCUGACAUUAUGUUGGUUUAUUGUUGUGGAUCCUUUCAUGUCAGAGUGACAUUUGCUAAUUACAGGAUACAAGUGAUUUUGACCUCACGGUAUACUGGAGAAGUAAAGCUAAUGGGUAUGCAGUGUCCGUGAAACUAAGUUCAUUUCCAAUCUUUAAAGCUCAAGUUUUCUGAAUUGUACAUUGGCACAGCAGUGUAAGGAUUUGAGGUUUAUAAAGCUGGGUGAAAAAUUCAUAUUAUUGUGAAAUGGAAAGAAAUAAAGAUUUUUCUUAAAUUACCGAGACACUUUAUUUGAAGCCAUGUUAUUUUCAGUUCUAAAGCUAUACCUAUAAAUCCAGAACAUGGCCAUGAAUCUAGAUAUAAUGAGGUAGGUGUUUAAUUGUAGUAAGUCAGUUUCUAUGGGUUUCCAGCUAAUCAGAAAUGUAAAUGUUGCCACCAGAUAGCCUGCUUUUCUGUGAAUUAAUUUUCUUUUGCUAUGAGUACUGCUGGAAUCAGAAACUCUCCUGCUUCUGUCUAAUAUAUACAAGCACCUUCAUUCCUCGUUUGGAGCCAGUGAAUAAAAAACAGUCAAAUGAUUCCUCACUCUAGUCUUAGCAAUGGGACAAGAGAACUAGUUUUUUUCCUCUUAAUCCUGUCUUCCUCUUUAAUAUUCCAUCGCUCACCUCAAGGAAAUCUCAACAGGAUGCUUUGGGACAAAAAUAAUAGCUUCCAAAGAAAAUUCAACUGGCUCCGUCCCACUGCUGCUUGAUAUGUUAAAACAUGAAACUCACGUACUGCUGCACAAUUAAUGAAAAGUACAGCAGAACUACUGACAGAAAAUAUGAAUAAAUGGAUGAAAUAACACAAGAUAUCCCUUCAUAGAGUACAUACUAAUUAACUGUUUGGAGGAGAGUAUUAGAAGUGACAGGCUAAUCGUGGCAAAAAUAAAGCUCCUGAGCUACUAUUUCAAAUUUUGAGAGCCAAUAAAAAAUGGGAUACAAUAAGAUACAAAUAACCAAAUAAUACCAGAGGAAAGACGUCAUAAAAUGUAGUGACAAAGUGCUGGAGGAGUUCAGGAAUUCGAAAGUCCCCUUCCUACCUCUGCCCAUUUAGACACGUCCCCAAAAAAGUGGCACUGCUGAUGUUCCAGAGGUAUAGAAACCACGCAGCUAUGUGGAGUCAGGUGGGAAAGUCACUUCAAGCUAACAGCAUGAUCAAAGGCAGGAAAUGAAUAAAGUGGAGAGAAUGUGUAAAAAAUAAUAAAUAGUAAUGGUUUUUCUGUUUUAAUUUUGAUUUUUGGCCUUAAAGAAUGUGGCAGGAGAAAUAUGUGAGCUUAGAUUAUGUUUUGGGAAAAAUAGAUCACUGAGGUAUUUGAAGCACAGAUUAAGAACUGCGGGGGCAACAGAGAGCAAUUUAGAAAAUUUUGAAUACAAAGAAGUGAUGUAAUUUGAAUUUUAGAAUGAUUAAUCUAGCCGAGUAUAGGUGGAGAUGGAGAUGAGAAUU